RNAcentral lists this unclassified non-coding RNA (507 nucleotides) under uncultured Diversispora. RNAcentral describes it as "SSU rRNA". It matches the Rfam family "Eukaryotic small subunit ribosomal RNA", at positions 569 to 1077 of the family's 1831-position model. The record is from RNAcentral. Lineage: Eukaryota; Fungi; Glomeromycota; Glomeromycetes; Diversisporales; Diversisporaceae.
AGCAGCCGCGGUAAUUCCAGCUCCAAUAGCGUAUAUUAAAGUUGUUGCAGUUAAAAAGCUCGUAGUUGAACUUCGGGGUCUACCCAUUGGUCAGGCUUAAUUGUCUGCACUGGUGAGAUGGAUCUCUACCUUCUGAGGAACUUUCAUGCCAUUUAUUUGGUGUGAUGGGAAAUCAGGACUGUUACUUUGAAAAAUUAGAGUGUUUAAAGCAGACUAUCGUCUGAAUACAUUAGCAUGGAAUAAUGAAAUAGGACGGACUGAUUCUAUUUCGUUGGUUUCUAGGAUCACCGUAAUGAUUAAUAGGGAUAGUUGGGGCAUUAGUAUUCAAUUGUCAGUAGGUGAAAUUCUUGGAUUUAUUGAAGUACUAACUACUGCGAAAGCAUUGCCAAGGAUGUUUUCAUUAAUCAAGAACGAAAGUUAGGGGAUCGAAGACGAUCAGAUACCGUCGUAGUCUUAAACCAUAAACUAUGCCGACUAGGGAUCGGAUGAUGUUAAUUUUAAUGACUU